CCUACGGGAGGCAGCAGUAAGGAAUAUUGGUCAAUGGACGAGAGUCUGAACCAGCCAUGCCGCGUGAAGGAUGAAGGCCCUCUGGGUUGUAAACUUCUUUUAUAGGGGACGAAAAAAGGGAAUUCUUUCCCACUUGACGGUACCCUAGGAAUAAGCACCGGCUAACUCCGUGCCAGCAGCCGCGGUAAUACGGAGGGUGCAAGCGUUAUCCGGAUUUACUGGGUUUAAAGGGUGCGUAGGUGGGCAGUUAAGUCAGUGGUGAAAUCUCCGAGCUUAACUCGGAAACUGCCAUUGAUACUAUCUGUCUUGAAUAUCCUGGAGGUGAGCGGAAUAUGUCAUGUAGCGGUGAAAUGCUUAGAUAUGACAUAGAACACCAAUUGCGAAGGCAGCUCACUACGGGAUUAUUGACACUGAGGCACGAAAGCGUGGGGAUCAAACAGGAUUAGAUACCCUGGUAGUCCACGCCCUAAACUAUGGAUACUCGACAUCAGCGAUACACUGUUGGUGUCUGNGNGAAGANAUAGUAUCCACCUAGGAGACGAGCGCGAGAUAGAAUAAGUAGAGUAGAGNGNGAGAGAGCGAGACGACGACGAGGGAGGAGG
This 602-nucleotide ribosomal RNA is filed under the name uncultured bacterium. RNAcentral's name for it is "bacterial SSU rRNA". The stretch from base 1 to 532 matches the Rfam family "Bacterial small subunit ribosomal RNA", at positions 338 to 873 of the family's 1533-position model. The record is from RNAcentral.